This 861-nucleotide ribosomal RNA is filed under the name uncultured bacterium. RNAcentral describes it as "SSU rRNA". It matches the Rfam family "Bacterial small subunit ribosomal RNA", at positions 524 to 1381 of the family's 1533-position model. The record is from RNAcentral.
UACGGAGGGUGCAAGCGUUACUCGGAAUCACUGGGCGUAAAGGGUGCGUAGGCUGACUUUUAAGUCAGGUGUGAAAUCCAAUGGCUUAACCAUUGAACUGCACUUGAAACUGGGAGUCUAGAGUUCAGAAGGGGCAGAUGGAAUUAGUGGUGUAGGGGUAAAAUCCGUAGAUAUCACUAGGAAUAUCAAAAGCGAAGGCGAUCUGCUGGGAUGAUACUGACGCUGAGGCACGAAAGCGUGGGGAGCAAACAGGAUUAGAUACCCUGGUAGUCCACGCCCUAAACGAUGAAUGCUAGUCGUCGGGGAGCUCGUCUCUUCGGUGAUGCACUUAACAGAUUAAGCAUUCCGCCUGGGGAGUACGGCCGCAAGAUUAAAACUCAAAGGAAUAGACGGGGACCCGCACAAGUGGUGGAGCAUGUGGUUUAAUUCGAAGAUACACGAAGAACCUUACCUGGCCUUGACAUGGCAGGAACCCUGUAGAGAUACGGGGGUGCUAGCUUGCUAGAACCUACACACAGGUGCUGCACGGCUGUCGUCAGCUCGUGUCGUGAGAUGUUGGGUUAAGUCCCGCAACGAGCGCAACCCUCGUCCUUAGUUGCCAGCAGUUCGGCUGGGCACUCUAAGGAGACUGCCUUCGCAAGGAGGAGGAAGGUGAGGACGACGUCAAGUCAUCAUGGCCCUUACGGCCAGGGCUACACACGUGCUACAAUGGGGCGUACAGAGAGCUGCAAUACCGCGAGGUGGAGCCAAUCUCAUAAAGCGCCUCUCAGUUCGGAUUGUUCUCUGCAACUCGAGAGCAUGAAGCUGGAAUCACUAGUAAUCGCAGAUCAGCUAUGCUGCGGUGAAUACGUUCCCGGGUCU